UACAGAGGGGGCAAGCGUUGUUCGGAAUUACUGGGCGUAAAGGGCGCGUAGACGGCCCGCUAAGUCGAACGUGAAAUCCCCGGGCUCAACCCGGGAACUGCGUCCGAUACUGGUGGGCUUGAAUCCGGGAGAGGGAUGCGGAAUUCCAGGUGUAGCGGUGAAAUGCGUAGAUAUCUGGAGGAACACCGGUGGCGAAGGCGGCAUCCUGGACCGGCAUUGACGCUGAGGCGCGAAAGCCAGGGGAGCAAACGGG
This 253-nucleotide ribosomal RNA is filed under the name uncultured bacterium. RNAcentral describes it as "partial 16S ribosomal RNA". It matches the Rfam family "Bacterial small subunit ribosomal RNA", at positions 524 to 776 of the family's 1533-position model. The record is from RNAcentral.